Molecule: long non-coding RNA, 673 nt
Organism: Homo sapiens (human)
Lineage: Eukaryota; Metazoa; Chordata; Mammalia; Primates; Hominidae
Exons: 3
Source: RefSeq, a predicted model, not a curated record
AUUUCCACGACAGUGCAAGUGUUCGAAAGCACAAAGGCAGACUGUCUACCCGCGACAGUUCGCAAGUUGCGGUGGCGGGGCGGCUGUGCGGAGCGCGCGUGCAGACUUUUUGUAGAAACUCUGCAGGUCAGAAGAUUUUUGUAUGGAAUGAUCUUCUCCAAUCAAUUAUUUGAAUCUAAGGUGUGCUCAAGAGGAGAAUCAGUUUCCCAUUCAACCACUUAGGAUUCUUUCUCUCUGCGUCCUAAAUUUGGCUUUGAGACCUUGGAUGAUGAUUCUCCUAAUCUGGUCAAUGGACCACCUGCAAGAAUCACCCAGGACUGGAGCCCAGGAAUCUGCUCAGUAACGUGACUGGGGUGCAUAGGAAGAGAAGAUCAUCAGUGGCAAAUGGCAGUCACAGGAAAGCAACACCCACAGCCGGUUUCACACGUGUGGAGAGCACCCUGAGCCUCCUCCUCCUGGUUUCCCGUGCUCUGCAAGUUCAGAGAAACUUCUCUCACAACCAACUAUAGAAACAAUCUUGGAACGUACAGUCUUAGAAAUGGCUUUUUAAUUGCAGCAUAUCAGAGUGAAAAAGGACCCAGAGAUGUUGGAAUCAGACAAUCCUGGUUUCAAAUCGGUUUCAUUGUUCAUCCUCAUGUGAUGUUUGGCAAGAAAUAAAACAUUUCUGCGUUCA